GGUCCUGUAGCUCAGCCUGGUCAGAGCACUUGGCUUUUAACCAAGGUGUCGGGGGUUCAAAUCCCUCCAGGGCCA
RNAcentral lists this transfer RNA (75 nucleotides) under Candidatus Pacearchaeota archaeon ex4484_71. RNAcentral's name for it is "tRNA-Lys". It matches the Rfam family "tRNA". Rfam says of the family: Transfer RNA (tRNA) molecules are approximately 80 nucleotides in length. Their secondary structure includes four short double-helical elements and three loops (D, anti-codon, and T loops). Further hydrogen bonds mediate the characteristic L-shaped molecular structure. tRNAs have two regions of fundamental functional importance: the anti-codon, which is responsible for specific mRNA codon recognition, and the 3' end, to which the tRNAs corresponding amino acid is attached (by aminoacyl-tRNA synthetases). tRNAs cope with the degeneracy of the genetic code in two manners: having more than one tRNA (with a specific anti-codon) for a particular amino acid; and 'wobble' base-pairing, i.e. permitting non-standard base-pairing at the 3rd anti-codon position. Lineage: Archaea; Nanobdellati. RNAcentral also lists the same sequence under 1 other name. The record is from RNAcentral.